CUCAUCCGCACACAGGCAGUGCAAAAUGUUGGACUGGCUCGUGUCCCAUCUAAGGGAAAUAUUGCUCCAUUUCCGUGCUGUGGGUACAGAGCCAACGCUACAAGAAAUGACCUUAUUUACCACUCUUCUGAGCUUUACGUUUGUCAUUGCUGCCCAUGCUUCCUUCCUCUGAGAAACUCAGGAGACUGUUGUUGUUAUUUGCCUCCAAGCAAACAAGCAGCUGGAAAUGGCACAGCAUCUGAUGCUCGCCGUGGCCUCGGCAGGAUUUUAUUUGCCAUCCUUACAUCCUUCUCCGAGGUCUGUCUUCAAUUAAUGGCUCGUUGUCUCCUCCAGACCCAGGAUGGAUGCAGACAACCCAAAGCCCUGAGCGCCUUUGUGUCAAGCCAAGUUCAAGGUCCUUCCAGACAGUGGGAAGCAUCCCCUGGAACCAACGCAAACAGUGACUGUGUUACAGAGAAAACGAGCGGCUGAAAGAUGUCACCAGAGGAGAAGCAUGAAGAACGUUUCUUCUCCUCCUGCUCUUUAUUCUUUCUUCUUGACACAAUGUCAGGAACUGCUUUUCUCUUUUCCUCCCCACUUCCUCACACGGCGUCUUCACAGCCAGCCUUUGGCAAAGGCGUUUUGGUGGCCAUCUAUUAAUUCUGCUGUGGCCUUUAGUAAUGUCAUCUUGGCUCAAAUGCUUUCUUGAAAUACAGGGCUGCAGAUUUCUCCAAACACACUUGGCAUGUUAUAUGGUGCCGGAGCAAUGCUAACUCCCUUAGAACAUAGAUGAAGCAAACAGUGCUAAUUUAUGCCUUGCUUUUUUAUUCCCAACAUAAUUUUGAUUUUAAUGUCCUAUCCUCACCACAUCAAUAUCUUUC
Gallus gallus (chicken) is the source of this 860-nucleotide long non-coding RNA. The record is from Ensembl. Lineage: Eukaryota; Metazoa; Chordata; Aves; Galliformes; Phasianidae.